This 586-nucleotide ribosomal RNA is filed under the name uncultured bacterium. Its description in RNAcentral is "partial 16S ribosomal RNA". It matches the Rfam family "Bacterial small subunit ribosomal RNA", at positions 355 to 1375 of the family's 1533-position model. The record is from RNAcentral.
UGGGGAAUUUUGGACAAUGGGCGAAAGCCUGAUCCAGCAAUGCCGCGUGUGUGAAGAAGGCCUUCGGGUUGUAAAGCACUUUUGUCCGGAAAGAAAUCCUUGGCUCUAAUACAGUCGGGGGAUGACGGUACCGGAAGAAUAAGCACCGGCUAACUACGUGCCAGCAGCCGCGGUAAUACGUAGGGUGCAAGCGUUAAUCGGAAUUACUGGGCGUAAAGCGUGCGCAGGCGGUUUGCUAAGACCGAUGUGAAAUCCCCGGGCUCAACCUGGGAACUGCAUUGGUGACUGGCAGGCUAGAGUAUGGCAGAGGGGGGUAGAAUUCCACGUGUAGCAGCGAAAUGCGUAGAGAUGUGGAGGAAUACCGAUGGCGAAGGCAGCCCCCUGGGCCAAUACUGACGCUCAUGCACGAAAGCGUGGGGAGCAAACAGGAUUAGAUACCCUGGUAGUCCACGCCCUAAAACGAUGUCAACUAGUUGUUGGGGAUUCAUUUCCUUAGUAACGUAGCUAACGCGUGAAGUUGACCGCCUGGGAAGUACGGUCGCAAGAUUAAAACUCAAAUGAAUUGACGGGGUCAUAGCUGUUUCCU